This 273-nucleotide ribosomal RNA is filed under the name uncultured bacterium. RNAcentral describes it as "partial 16S ribosomal RNA". It matches the Rfam family "Bacterial small subunit ribosomal RNA", at positions 523 to 796 of the family's 1533-position model. The record is from RNAcentral.
AUACGGAGGGUGCAAGCGUUAUUCGGAAUCACUGGGCGUAAAGGACGCGUAGGCGGGUUGGCAAGUCAGAUGUGAAAUCCUACAGCUUAACUGUAGAACUGCAUUUGAAACUGCUAACCUAGAGUAUGGGAGGGGGAGAUGGAAUUAGUGGUGUAGGGGUAAAAUCCGUAGAUAUCACUAGGAAUACCGAAAGCGAAGGCGAUCUCCUGGAACAUAACUGACGCUAAGGCGUGAAAGCGUGGGGAGCAAACAGGAUUAGAAACCCCAGAGUCC